This 567-nucleotide ribosomal RNA is filed under the name Aphelinidae sp. 1446A. Its description in RNAcentral is "eukaryotic LSU rRNA". It matches the Rfam family "Eukaryotic large subunit ribosomal RNA", at positions 329 to 658 of the family's 3401-position model. Lineage: Eukaryota; Metazoa; Arthropoda; Insecta; Hymenoptera; Aphelinidae. The record is from RNAcentral.
CGAGACCGAUAGCGAAAAGUACCGUGAGGGAAAGUUGAAAAGAACUUUGAAGAGAGAGUUCAAUAGUACGUGAAACCGUUCAGGGGUAAACCUGAGAAACCCAAAAGAUCGAAUGGGGAGAUUCAUCGUCAGCCGGCUUGGCUUCCGUGCGGUUCGCGAUGAUCGGGGCUUCGGCUCUCGCGUCACGCAAUCGCUGCGGUAUGUCCGAGUCGCGCCGGCGUGCACUUCUUCCCUAGUAGGACGUCGCGAUUCGUUGGGUGUCGGUUUACGGACCGGUAGGUAGCCUGGCGAGUUUUGCGUUCACGCGUAUUUACUUGCCAGACCUCCGGAUUUUCCUAACCGGCUGCCCGGCGAUAUAAAACGAUAAUCCAAUGGCAUUGAGCCGCGUUGAACGCGUUUACGGCUCGUCGGCAGAUUCGUCUCGCUUGGAUUUACGAACCUAGUUUCGUUGCCGGGCGCUUGACGGGUCGUUCGCCGGCGAUGUCCUCGAACUGGCUCUAAAUAUUCUUACGGAAUAUGCCGAUCGGCGACGCUACUGCUUUGGGUACUUUCAGGACCCGUCUUGAA